GAUGAAGAACGUAGCGAAAUGCGAUAAGUAGUGUGAAUUGCAGAAUUCAGUGAAUCAUCGAAUCUUUGAACGCACAUUGCGCCCCUUGGUAUUCCAUGGGGCAUGCCUGUUCGAGCGUCAUUUGUAUCUUAAGCUCUGCUUAGUGUUGGGUGAUUGUCUGCGUCUUAGUGUAGACUCGCCUUGAAUCUAUUGGCCGCCGAUAGUCUAGUAUGCGAGCGCAGCACAUUUGCGCACUGUACCCGUCUAAUCGGCCACCAUCAAGUAUAAUACCUCAACGUUUGACCUCGGAUCAGGUAGGGAUACCCGCUGAACUUAAGCAUAUCCAAUAAGCGGAGGA
This 337-nucleotide unclassified non-coding RNA is filed under the name soil metagenome. RNAcentral describes it as "partial contains 5.8S ribosomal RNA, internal transcribed spacer 2, and large subunit ribosomal RNA". The stretch from base 1 to 120 matches the Rfam family "5.8S ribosomal RNA", at positions 35 to 154 of the family's 154-position model. The record is from RNAcentral.